GCUUUAAGGCAGUUUUUUGGCCACCCCCGUUCUAUCUUGGGUCCUUUCAGAACAACAACAUGGCGGUCCUACACCGGUGGAAGCGGAUUCAAUGUUUACACGUUUUCACAAGAAACCUCACGGGUGCAGGGCGUGUUUUGCUAGCGGUGACCACAAAAAGCUUGUUAUCACAGUUGAUGAUGGGAAGUGGUUUGCCAUGAAGAUCUCCCAGCUCCAAAGCCACAGUAAAGAACCACAGACCAUAUCUGCAGUGCCAGUGUCCCCUGUGAACAACUGGGGAAAUUUUCCCUCUCACCCGGUUUCAGGGAUGUCCAACUAUGGACACAUUUACCAUUUUGUGUUGGAAUCCAUAAAGUUUGUUAAUCCAGAGGAGAAUGGCAAUGAUMAUGAAAUGUCAUUGGCUUGGCUAUAUUAGCAUGUCCAGAUUUUUUGAAUGUACUUGAACUAUUUUGGUUGUCAGACAGAAGUCUAUUCAGUGACAUCAUUUGUGCACAGCUGCUACUACUAAUCAUCUUUGAUUCUUUAUUAACUGUUUUUUGUUAUUUAAAAAAUAUUCAUUUAUUUGAAUGCUGUGUACAGUGUACACUGGUGGUUUUUGAAUAAAAGAGCAAAAUCGGCAA
Molecule: long non-coding RNA, 620 nt
Organism: Austrofundulus limnaeus
Lineage: Eukaryota; Metazoa; Chordata; Actinopteri; Cyprinodontiformes; Rivulidae
Exons: 2
Source: RefSeq, a predicted model, not a curated record